This 90-nucleotide small RNA is filed under the name Flavobacteriaceae bacterium 3519-10. RNAcentral describes it as "Flavo-1 RNA". It matches the Rfam family "Flavo-1 RNA". Lineage: Bacteria; Pseudomonadati; Bacteroidota; Flavobacteriia; Flavobacteriales; Flavobacteriaceae. The record is from Rfam by way of RNAcentral.
UCCUAGCCCCGAUUGAAAUGAAAAUCCUUUUUUGGUGGCUGAGCCCUGCGAAGGCACCAAAAAAGAUUGUAAUGGAAAGCGGGACCCAAA